Molecule: ribosomal RNA, 765 nt
Filed under: Escherichia coli
Lineage: Bacteria; Pseudomonadati; Pseudomonadota; Gammaproteobacteria; Enterobacterales; Enterobacteriaceae
Description: partial 23S ribosomal RNA
Rfam family: Bacterial large subunit ribosomal RNA
Source: RNAcentral
ACCCAGGGAACUGAAACAUCUAAGUACCUGGAGGAAGAGAAAGAAAAAUCGAUUUCCUGAGUAGCGGCGAGCGAAACGGAAAGAGCCCAAACCAAGAAGCUUGCUUCUUGGGGUUGUAGGACACUCUAUACGGAGUUACAAAAGAAAGUUAUAAAUGAAGCGGUCUGGAAAGGCCCGCCAAAGACGGUAACAGCCCGGUAGUUGAAAUAGCUUUCCCUCCAGAGUGGAUCCUGAGUACGGCGGAACACGUGAAAUUCCGUCGGAAUCCGGGAGGACCAUCUCCCAAGGCUAAAUACUCCCUAGUGACCGAUAGUGAACCAGUACCGUGAGGGAAAGGUGAAAAGCACCCCGGAAGGGGAGUGAAACAGUUCCUGAAACCGUGUGCCUACAAGUAGUUAGAGCCCGUUAAUGGGUGAUAGCGUGCCUUUUGUAGAAUGAACCGGCGAGUUACGAUUUGUUGCAAGGUUAAGCGGAAAAAGCGGAGCCGUAGCGAAAGCGAGUCUGAAUAGGGCGCAUAAGUAACAGGUCGUAGACCCGAAACCAGGUGAUCUACCCAUGUCCAGGAUGAAGGUAAGGUAAUACUUACUGGAGGUCCGAACCCACGCACGUUGAAAAGUGCGGGGAUGAGGUGUGGGUAGCGGAGAAAUUCCAAUCGAACUUGGAGAUAGCUGGUUCUCUCCGAAAUAGCUUUAGGGCUAGCCUCGAGGUAAAGAGUCAUGGAGGUAGAGCACUGUUUGGACUAGGGGCCCUUCUCGGGUUACCGAA